RNAcentral lists this ribosomal RNA (465 nucleotides) under uncultured bacterium. RNAcentral describes it as "partial 16S ribosomal RNA". It matches the Rfam family "Bacterial small subunit ribosomal RNA", at positions 28 to 507 of the family's 1533-position model. The record is from RNAcentral.
GACGAACGCUGGCGGCGUGCUUAACACAUGCAAGUCGAACGGAAAGGCCCCUUUGGGGGUUCUCGAGUGGCGAACGGGUGAGUAACACGUGAGUAACCUGCCCUUGACUUCGGGAUAACUUCAGGAAACUGGGGCUAAUACCGGAUAGGAAUCCUUGCUGCAUGGUGGGGGUUGGAAAGCUUCGGCGGUUUUGGAUGGACUCGCGGCUUAUCAGCUUGUUGGUGGGGUAGUGGCUUACCAAGGCUUUGACGGGUAGCCGGCCUGAGAGGGCGACCGGCCACAUUGGGACUGAGAGACGGCCCAGACUCCGACGGGAGGCAGCAGUGGGGAAUAUUGCACAAUGGGCGGAAGCCUGAUGCAGCAACGCCGCGGGCGGGAUGACGGCCUUCGGGUUGUAAACCGCUUUCAGCAGGGGCGAAGCUUGUGGUGACGGUACCUGCAGAAGAAGCACCGGCUAACUACGUG